Molecule: long non-coding RNA, 3395 nt
Filed under: Limulus polyphemus (Atlantic horseshoe crab)
Lineage: Eukaryota; Metazoa; Arthropoda; Merostomata; Xiphosura; Limulidae
Description: uncharacterized LOC111085597
Source: RNAcentral
AAGUCAAUGUUCCUGUAUCACAUGGAGUCAGCCACCCUGAAUAAAUAUUGUAUUGCAAUAAUGAACACUAACACUGUUUGAUUAAAGGUAACAAACUUUACUUUCAAAUAUUCUGUACUUUUAAUCUUCUUUUGUGUGUCACAUUUCAGCUCUGAUCUUAUACAUUUAAACUUAACUAUCAUUACGUAAAUAUAGAAUUAGAAAGUAGGAAAUAAUUAGUUUUGUUCAACAUUUUGUGUGUAUUUUGAUCCAGAUUAUUUAUUUUUUCGUGUUAUAUUUUUUAUUUUAUUGCUUUUAGUUACAAGUUUGGAAAUUAAAACUUUUUAUACAUGUUAACAUAUGCAUAUUUGGAGUUAUUAUAAAAUGUCUUGUGAAAUUAUCAGUGAGUUUUGUAAACAGGAAAGUGUCUGGUAUUAGUGGAUGUGUAAAGGAUUUCUAAAUUUACAGAUACUUAUAACUUUUUUUUUAUUACAAAUGUCAAAAAUUUUUUAAACAUUUUCACAAUAUUUGGAUCAUCAGAUAUUAUAGUCAAACAUUUGGGUUAAGAUCCAGUUUAAAAUUAAUGUUCAUGUGAUCUUAUGUUUCUCUAAAAUAAUGUUUUCAAGAUGUUUUUUUCUAAGUGUUGAGUUCAUAUAUAUAUAUAUAUAUAUAUGCUUAAUAAUAAUAAUAAUCUUUAUGCCCAUUUUCAAGUAACAUUGUUGCUUAGAUUUUAUUUUCAGAAGAUAAUGAUGUGAAAAUACUGCUUUAUGUGACUUUAUCCACUGUAUUGAUAACAAUUAGUAAUGUUCUUAUAAUUGAGUUUCAAAAGAGAUUUUUUUGUCAAGAAGCUUGUACUGUAUGACUUUUUACUUUACCAUAAUAGCCAAUGUUACAUUGGAUAUCUUUGUAUGAUUUUCUUCAAUGAUCUUUAAAGACUCCAGGUGCUGAACAAUAAUAUUCUACUUUUUAAAUGAAGAAUGACAACUACGUUUUCUAGGCUACUCACACUCUCAUCAUUGUUUAAACUAAAAUGACUCUGUCUGAAGUGAUCAUUCAAUUUCUUAUCAGUUUCUUUGGGUCCUUUAUUCCAGACAACUUGUACACUAGUGUUUUGUUGCAUGGGAUACAAAAAGCCUGGUCAGCUACAUUUAAUUUCCAAAGGUAUUUCUUCUUUUAUCACAAACUCCAUCUGUAAUUAACAUAAAUGUUACUGUAAUUAUCCUUCUAGAAUUUCAUUUGUCUAUGUUCAUAUCCGUUCUCCCAGUACAAACUUGGGCAAAGGUUCCUCCUAGCCUAGGCCGUUUUAUCAAUUUUGUAUAAUUAAAAAGGCCUAACAAAAUAAAAUUUGAUAUUAGAUGUAAAUAUAUAAAUUAUAAAACAACUCACCUUUAAAUUCAUACAAUAUUGUAGUUUCAAAUAUAGAUGAUAUCUCCAACUUUCAGAUAUGUUUUGAAAUUCGUGCCAGCCGUCAGGUAGUAUAAUAUGGAAAUUUCCAAGUAUACUGAUUAUAUUGAAAUAGUUAGUCACAGUUUAUACAAUUGGAUAAUGAAUAUAAAACAACCAAUCAUUAAUUCUUCUGAAAGUAGAAGUGCUUGCCAAAAUGGCUGCUCUGAUAAACUACACUUUCUACAAGACAAUUCUACAUCAAUAUGUAGGCUAUACUUUCCCCACCACUUUCUCUUCAAAUGUAUGCAACUUUCAAAAAUCGCCCUUGGGACUUCAAAUCUGGAUUUUUGCACCAAUCCAGAAAAUUCCUAUGUCUGAUGUUCGAUUUUAAAAAUAAAUAAAAUUAUUGUGAGUUUAUUAUAAUUGUAGUUCAACAAUGUGUAAUUCAGGUGAAUUUUUAAAAAUGUAGUUUAUUGUUCCAGAAAAGUUAUUACUUUUAAAACACUAAGAAAUAUUUCAUUGAAAAUUUCAUGAAAAUGAUUUUGAGAAGAUUUUUUGUCAUUCACACAACAAGCAUUAAAAAAUUUUAAAUUUGGGACUAUCUCAUAAAUUCUAGAUGUAAAAAGAAAUUAAAUAUCUAAAAGUGGAUUAACAGGAAAAUAAGCAGUAGAGUGUGGUUAACUUCAGUGAAAUACAGAUCUUUUUAUAUUUCUGUUAUCCCAUUUUUAACUUGUUCUUUUGAUUUAGUAGUUUCAGGAUACUUACAUAUUAUUCAAAAAUCUUUGAGUGAAUUAAAUGUUUGAACCACAACUGUCAACCUCUAUAUUCAAAAUAACAAAAGUUAUAUCAAAGUUAAGAAUAGUGUGAUGUACAGAUCACUGAUUGCAAUGAAAGCUUACCAACUGACUCCCAAGAUGACACUUAUUAUUGCACAAAUAAUGUACCAUAAUUUUAAUUUCAGUAGCCUGAUAAAUGCCAAACUUGUAUGAUGCAUUUCUUAACACUUGGAACAUUCUCUUUUUAAUCACAAUCUUACUUUUGUUUUUAAUGCAAAAAAAAAAGUUUUAUUUAGUAGUAGUAGUUUCAAAAAUUUAUCUGUAAAUAUUGUUGGUGUUUUUUAUGCUGAAGGUGUUACGCAGUAUUUUGGAAUAUUUUCAUCACGGAAUAUUGAAAUAUGAAUUUCAUAAAGUGAAAUAUUUUUGUGUUAUUGGUAUGUUAAUGUUUUAUUAACAAGCUGGCUUACAGCAAAUACUGUACGUAGAACUUACAAUUCAGUAGCUUCCUUUUUAAUCCAUAACACUAGUCUUAUAUCUGUAAUCAAGAGCAUUUGAAAAUAUUAAAUAAGGUUCAAAGUCAAUUUGAGCUCUUCUUUAAGAUUUUUUUAUGUUCUUUCAAAUGGGUAUAGCUGUAAUAAAAGAUUUUUUAUCAUUUUUAUUAAUAUGUUGUGAUAAAUACAAAUAUUUGCAUAAUUUUCUAACACCUCAAACUCGACAUUUACACACUUGAAGCCAAAUAUACACAUGGUUAUAUAAGUAGCCAUUCUCCAUGAAAAAAGAACAGUUGCAUUUUGGUUUAUUUGUAUUAGGGAUGAUGGUGUAAAAAUUCAUGUGUGUGUGCUUGUGUUCAAAUGUGUAUGGUAUAACAAUAUUAACUAGCCUCGUAUCGUGUCGUAACAAAGUUACAGUUAUACAUAUGUACUUCCAGUUACUUUAUUAAGUGUAACCCCAUGGUUGCUGUCAAAUUAUAGAAUAAGAAGUCUUUUCCUAAACACACUGACACUUCUUGUCAAGAUUCCAAUUCUAUUUUGUGCAUUAACUUCAUGUACAGGUAAAAUAUGCCACUGAACUAUAAGGUUGCUCCCUUUUAAGUGAAUUUUUAAGAUGAUUCCCUUGUUUUUGUUUCUAUUUACAAACUAUAUUACAGUUUUGUGUGUGUGUGUUAUUUUAAGCUUCCAUUUCACUAUGACAGUGGAAAUGAGCAUGUUCUGUAACCUUCAUGUAAAACUCAAUAAACCAGUGUUGUCAUUACCA